AGGAUAAACGCUGGCGGCGUGCCUUAAGCAUGCAAGUCGAACGGUUUCGUCUUCGGACGGGAUAGUGGCGAACGGCUGAGUAAGACGUUUGUGACCGAUCCGAGUGGGGGGACAACUCCGCGAAAGCGGGGCUAAUACCGCGUACGUCCCAUCCAAUAGAAUGGAUGGGAGAAAGCUGUCGCAAGAUGGCGCACUCGGGCGGGCGGACGGCCCAUCAGGUAGUUGGGGGGGUAAUGGCCUCCCAAGCCGAUGACGGGUAGCUGGUCUGAGAGGAUGACCAGCCAGACUGGGACUGCGACACGGCCCAGACUCCUACGGGAGGCAGCAGCUAGGGAUCUUGCACAAUGGGCGAAAGCCUGAUGCAGCAACGCCGCGUGGGGAUGACGGUUCUCGGAUUGUAAACCCCUUUGGCCGGAAAGAGAUAGGACGGUACCGGUCGAAUCACGCCCGGCUAACUACGCGCCAGCAGCCGC
Molecule: ribosomal RNA, 473 nt
Filed under: uncultured bacterium
Lineage: Bacteria
Description: SSU rRNA
Rfam family: Bacterial small subunit ribosomal RNA
Source: RNAcentral